Pelobates cultripes (western spadefoot toad) is the source of this 448-nucleotide non-coding RNA. Lineage: Eukaryota; Metazoa; Chordata; Amphibia; Anura; Pelobatidae. The record is from the annotation of a GenBank genome assembly.
CAUUUAUUGGCUGAGAUCAUCAGUUGGGCACUCAGGAAAUUAAUGAGUUCCAGUAUUGAACAAAACUGACAUUUUUCUUCUCCUUCUUAGAGUAGACCACAGAAAGACAGCAGCAUGUUUGCCCAUUGAAUGCUGAUGUCAAACCAUGCUGCAAUGGUUUGAGAGAUUACAAUGGGACGGACCCAGGGCACUUCUUGCACAAUAACACUACAGUGGGCUGCAGUCAUUAUGGAGCUGAAGUGUUUGUUUAAAGUAGUCAUCUCAGUCAUUGCUCAUGGUGACCAUUUUAUACCCAUGUUGGUCAUUUUGCACAGAUCCAGACCAGUGAUUACAAUGUGCUUGAACUACCACAUGUGGUCAUGCAUGAAUUGUAGACAUGUGCAAUUCGUUUCGUUCCGAAUGCAUAGUCGGCCGAAUUUGGAAAUUCGGACAUUCUGUCCGAAGUGCU